RNAcentral lists this unclassified non-coding RNA (782 nucleotides) under Hevea brasiliensis (rubber tree). The record is from RNAcentral. Lineage: Eukaryota; Viridiplantae; Streptophyta; Magnoliopsida; Malpighiales; Euphorbiaceae.
CAGCAAUGCCCUUGUUGGUCCAGUUCUUCAUCCUGUGAAUUUGGACAGCUAUUUUGUAACUCAUGAAGUGUAAUCAAAAUAGGGAGAGGAAGAACUGGACCAACAAGGGCAUUGCUGUGCGGCACUUUAUGUGACCACCUACUGCUGCGACUUGAAGGCUUCCUUAAGAAAAAUGGAGGCAACUGAGGUAGGUCCGGAACAACUAAAAAUUCCAAAGAAACCACCUUCUUGUCCAAGAGUACUUCAAGAAAUUCGGAGUAGCUGGAAAAGGCAAGUUGCAAGAGUUCCAUUGGCAAGCUUGCCCAUAUGCUCCUCAAAGCAACUUCAUGUACACUUGUUGGCAAGUUGAUGUCAUUAAAAACAACGCUAAUGGCAGGGGAUGUUCUAAAUUGACUGAACCCACAAAUCUUCAAUUUCUCGCACAGUGUUUCAUGAAAGUCUAUGCUAAAAGACUCUCUCUGUUGAGAACCCUUGCAAGGCUUUGUCAUGUUUGAAUCCAAGACCUGAGAAAUAUUACCAUUAAUAUAUGCAGAGAGGUAAUCCAGCUUCAAAUACUUAAAUCUUCUAGGAAACUUGUAUUCCUCAUCCUCCAAGGAGUAAAGCAAGUUGUCUCCAAAACACAGCAAUUGAAUGAGCUGCUUCUAAUUUUCUAACCAAAUCCCAUGAUGCAUAAUAUCUCUGUGACUCCAGCUUCCCUGAGGACAUUAGUCUAAUCAAAGUAAAACCACCAAAUUCAUCCGACUCAAAGAGCAAUGAAGAGAGAUCACUGCUUAAAAUGCCAA